AUACGGAGGGUGCGAGCGUUAAUCGGAAUUACUGGGCGUAAAGCGUACGUAGGCGGUUGGUUAAGUUAGAUGUGAAAGCCCCGGGCUUAACCUGGGAACUGCAUUUAAAACUGGCGAACUAGAGUUGAUUAGAGGGGAGUGGAAUUUCAGGUGUAGCGGUGAAAUGCGUAGAGAUCUGAAGGAACACCAGUGGCGAAGGCGACUCCCUGGACUCGAACUGACGCUGAGGUACGAAAGCGUGGGUAGCAAACGGAAUUAGAUACCCGAGUAGUCC
RNAcentral lists this ribosomal RNA (274 nucleotides) under uncultured bacterium. RNAcentral's name for it is "partial 16S ribosomal RNA". It matches the Rfam family "Bacterial small subunit ribosomal RNA", at positions 523 to 796 of the family's 1533-position model. The record is from RNAcentral.